Molecule: long non-coding RNA, 1348 nt
Organism: Cannabis sativa
Lineage: Eukaryota; Viridiplantae; Streptophyta; Magnoliopsida; Rosales; Cannabaceae
Exons: 2
Source: RefSeq, a predicted model, not a curated record
UAUUCUUCCUCUGCUUUUUACUUUCGCUCUUUUUUUUUUUUAUUAUUAUUUUAUUAUUAAAACAAUCUGUGUUGUGCUGCACAAACUCGAAGAGUUAAAAUUUUGACUGCAAUCGAAGUAAGCCUUUUUAUAUACGUUAUUAUUAUUCUUUUUUUUUUUUUUCACUGAAAACGUUUUUAUUAUUCUUAUUGAAGGGUUCAAAUUAUGUCAAUGGGGCGAGUAUAUUAUGCCGCUUUUCUUUUAGCGCGUGGAAGGUGUAUAUUCACUAAACAUAGUGAAAAGCCAUGUGUUAUGGGUGAACCAAAUCCAAUGUGAAAACCUGUCCCAUUUAUCCAACUGUAAUAAUAGAAGGACAAAAGUUUUAGGCAAAGAAGUAGCCUAACGCUAUUAAUACAUCAUUAAAUAAUUUUAUUGUUAAUGCCAUGUCUUUUAACGAGAACCUGACUGUUAAACAUUAUUCACAAAUAGAAAUUUGAUAAAGUCACAAGAACAAUGAUGCUCUAUUUUCUAUUGUUGUCCAAAAUGCCUCUCCUAUAAGAAAAACUCAUUUUCUUUUCCCUUCCUCUUUUUUCUCUUCCUCAUUCUCACUUCACCACCAAUUUUCUCUCUUCCUCUCUAAAUAAAUUACUAAUUGUAGAAAAUUUUUGCACUAAAAUCUUGUAACAAAGAUAUUUAUUCAGAUGAAGAAAACAAAACUGGAGUUAGAUUGUAUAAAAUUUGAGGAUAAACACCAAGUAUUGGUUCAUUUUGAAGAAAAUAAAUGGAAAUCAUCAUCAACGUUCUUAGAGGAAGUUUAUCAAGAUGGGAGAUUGAUAGCUAUAUUAGUAGGUGGAUUUCUUUUUCUAAAUUGUUGGUGGGAGGUAAUUUUGUUAAGAUUCUUUAGUAUUGUAAUUUUGUAGCCCAUCACGUGGCUAAUUGGACGUAUGCCAACAAAGUAUCUGGUUUGAUCGAGGUGUCAACAAUUCUAGAAAAUUUGUUAUAUAAUGACUAUGAGAUUUAAUUUUUGUAAUUUAUAAAAGGUUAAUUUCAAAAAAAAAAAAAAAAAAAUUAAGGGACGAUAUUUGUAUAAAGGCUUUAUAAAAUCUAACAAUUUUAAAAAUUGCAAUCAGCCUAUUGAAAUUAAAUGUUGCCUUUGCCCAAUAGUACUAUGACAAUGCUAAGCCGAAUGUGAUAAAAGCUUGCAAUGCCUUUCCAUUUGUUUGUGAGAAAAAGAAGACAAAACAUAAAGCCAAAAAUAAUAAGAUAUUGUCAGAGGAAUUUAGACAACACUAAAUCAUACGAGUAUUCAAGCAAAAUAAUAAAAAAAAAAAACCUCAUUAACAGUCAUGUAAGUACUCACCUAAAAUAA